UGAUGAACGCUAGCUACAGGCUUAACACAUGCAAGUCGAGGGGAAACGACAUCGAAAGCUUGCUUUUGAUGGGCGUCGACCGGCGCACGGGUGAGUAACGCGUAUCCAACCUGCCCAUCACUUGGGGAUAACCUUGCGAAAGUAAGACUAAUACCCAAUGACGUCUCUAGAAGACAUCUGAAAGAGAUUAAAGAUUUAUCGGUGAUGGAUGGGGAUGCGUCUGAUUAGCUUGUUGGCGGGGUAACGGCCCACCAAGGCAACGAUCAGUAGGGGUUCUGAGAGGAAGGUCCCCCACAUUGGAACUGAGACACGGUCCAAACUCCUACG
RNAcentral lists this ribosomal RNA (327 nucleotides) under uncultured Bacteroidota bacterium. RNAcentral describes it as "bacterial SSU rRNA". It matches the Rfam family "Bacterial small subunit ribosomal RNA", at positions 28 to 343 of the family's 1533-position model. The record is from RNAcentral. Lineage: Bacteria; Pseudomonadati; Bacteroidota.